GCAAACUUGGUCAUUUAGAGGAAGUAAAAGUCGUAACAAGGUUUCCGUAGGUGAACCUGCGGAAGGAUCAUUAUCGUAGGGCCUCUGGCCCUGUCGAGAUAGCGUCCUUGCCUAUUUUUUGGAGCACCCUCCGUUUCCUCAGCAGGUCCGCCUGCUACCGGGGACACACGAAACUCUUUGCAAUCAGCAACCGUCUGAAGCAACUACAAAAAAUCAAAACUUUCAACAAUGGAUCUCUUGGUUCUGGCAUCGAUGAAGAACGCAGC
Molecule: unclassified non-coding RNA, 266 nt
Filed under: uncultured fungus
Lineage: Eukaryota; Fungi
Description: partial contains small subunit ribosomal RNA, internal transcribed spacer 1, and 5.8S ribosomal RNA
Rfam family: Eukaryotic small subunit ribosomal RNA (bases 1-73)
Source: RNAcentral